GCCCCCGUUGUCUAAUGGUUCAGGACGUCAGACUUCUAUACUUCGAUUACGUAAUUUAGGGAUCUGAAGGUUGCGUGUUCGAAUCCCGCCGGGGGUU
Molecule: non-coding RNA, 97 nt
Organism: Mycena galericulata
Lineage: Eukaryota; Fungi; Basidiomycota; Agaricomycetes; Agaricales; Mycenaceae
Source: the annotation of a GenBank genome assembly